GGGCAUUGUGCGGCUACACAUGCAAGUCGAGCGGUAACAGGAGAUACAAGCUUGCUGAUCUCCGCUCGACGAGCGGCGGACGGGUGAGUAAUGUCUGGGAAACUGCCUGAUGGAGGGGGAUAACUACUGGAAACGGUAGCUAAUACCGCAUAACGUCUUCGGACCAAAGUGGGGGACCUUCGGGCCUCAUGCCAUCAGAUGUGCCCAGAUGGGAUUAGCUAGUAGGUGGGGUAACGGCUCACCUAGGCGACGAUCCCUAGCUGGUCUGAGAGGAUGACCAGCCACACUGGAACUGAGACACGGUCCAGACUCCUACGGGAGGCAGCAGUGGGGAAUAUUGCACAAUGGGCGCAAGCCUGAUGCAGCCAUGCCGCGUGUAUGAAGAAGGCCUUCGGGUUGUAAAGUACUUUCAGCGGGGAGGAAGGUGUUGUGGUUAAUAACCGCAGCAAUUGACGUUACCCGCAGAAGAAGCACCGGCUAACUCCGUGCCAGCACGGCCGGUAAUA
RNAcentral lists this ribosomal RNA (506 nucleotides) under Cronobacter sp. TW85A. RNAcentral's name for it is "bacterial SSU rRNA". It matches the Rfam family "Bacterial small subunit ribosomal RNA", at positions 39 to 525 of the family's 1533-position model. Lineage: Bacteria; Pseudomonadati; Pseudomonadota; Gammaproteobacteria; Enterobacterales; Enterobacteriaceae. The record is from RNAcentral.